Molecule: ribosomal RNA, 468 nt
Filed under: uncultured bacterium
Lineage: Bacteria
Description: partial 16S ribosomal RNA
Rfam family: Bacterial small subunit ribosomal RNA
Source: RNAcentral
GACGAACGCUGGCGGCGUGCUUAACACAUGCAAGUCGAACGGAAAGGCCCUGCUUUUGUGGGGUGCUCGAGUGGCGAACGGGUGAGUAACACGUGAGUAACCUGCCCUUGACUUUGGGAUAACUUCAGGAAACUGGUGCUAAUACCGGAUAGGAGCUCCUGCUGCAUGGUGGGGGUUGGAAAGUUUCGUCGGUUGGGGAUGGACUCGCGGCUUAUCAGCUUGUUGGUGGGGUAGUGGCUUACCAAGGCUUUGACGGGUAGCCGGCCUGAGAGGGUGACCGGCCACAUUGGGACUGAGAUACGGCCCAGACUCGUACGGGAGGCAGCAGUGGGGAAUAUUGCACAAUGGGAGGAAGCCUGAUGAAGAAACGCCGCGUGCGGGAUGACGGCCUUCGGGUUGUAAACCGCUUUCGCCUGUGACGAAGCGUGAGUGACGGUAAUGGGUAAAGAAGCACCGGCUAACUACGUG